RNAcentral lists this ribosomal RNA (837 nucleotides) under Acinetobacter baumannii. RNAcentral describes it as "partial 23S ribosomal RNA". It matches the Rfam family "Bacterial large subunit ribosomal RNA", at positions 1 to 882 of the family's 2925-position model. The record is from RNAcentral. Lineage: Bacteria; Pseudomonadati; Pseudomonadota; Gammaproteobacteria; Moraxellales; Moraxellaceae.
GUUGUAUAGUCAAGUAAUUAAGUGCAUGUGGUGGAUGCCUUGGCAGUCAGAGGCGAUGAAAGACGUGAUAGCCUGCGAAAAGCUCCGGGGAGGCGGCAAAUAUCCUUUGAUCCGGAGAUGUCUGAAUGGGGGAACCCACCUACUUUAAGGUAGGUAUUGCAACAUGAAUACAUAGUGUUGCAAGGCGAACGAGGGGAAGUGAAACAUCUCAGUACCCUUAGGAAAAGAAAUCAAUUGAGAUUCCCUCAGUAGCGGCGAGCGAACGGGGAUCAGCCCAUUAAGUUAUGUGUGUUUUAGUGGAACGCUCUGGGAAGUGCGAACGUAGAGGGUGAUAUUCCCGUACACGAAAGGGCACACAUAAUGAUGACGAGUAGGGCGAGGCACGUGAAACCUUGUCUGAAUAUGGGGGGACCAUCCUCCAAGGCUAAAUACUCCUGACUGACCGAUAGUGAACCAGUACCGUGAGGGAAAGGCGAAAAGAACCCCUGUGAGGGGAGUGAAAUAGAUCCUGAAACCGCAUGCAUACAAGCAGUGGGAGCACCUUCGUGGUGUGACUGCGUACCUUUUGUAUAAUGGGUCAGCGACUUAUAUUCAGUAGCGAGGUUAACCGUAUAGGGGAGCCGUAGAGAAAUCGAGUCUUAAUAGGGCGUUUAGUUGCUGGGUAUAGACCCGAAACCAGGCGAUCUAUCCAUGAGCAGGUUGAAGGUUGGGUAACACUAACUGGAGGACCGAACCCACUGUCGUUGAAAAGCCAGGGGAUGACUUGUGGAUAGGGGUGAAAGGCUAAUCAAGCCUGGUGAUAGCUGGUUCUCCCCGAAAGCUAUUUAGGUAGCGCCU